ACUACGGGUGGCAGCAGUGGGGAAUAUUGGGCAAUGGGCGCAAGCCUGACCCAGCAACGCCGCGUGAAGGAAGAAGGCUUUCGGGUUGUAAACUUCUUUUCUCAGGGACGAAGAAAGUGACGGUACCUGAGGAAUAAGCCACGGCUAACUACGUGCCAGCAGCCGCGGUAAUACGUAGGUGGCAAGCGUUAUCCGGAUUUAUUGGGUGUAAAGGGCGUGUAGGCGGGAGCGCAAGUCAGAUGUGAAAACUCAGGGCUCAACCCUGAGCCUGCAUUUGAAACUGUGUUUCUUGAGUGCUGGAGAGGCAAUCGGAAUUCCGGGUGUAGCGGUGAAAUGCGUAGAUAUACGGAGGAACACCAGUGGCGAAGGCGGAUUGCUGGACAGUAACUGACGCUGAGGCGCGAAAGCGUGGGGAGCAAACAGGAUUAGAUACCCUAGUAGUC
RNAcentral lists this ribosomal RNA (443 nucleotides) under uncultured bacterium. RNAcentral describes it as "partial 16S ribosomal RNA". It matches the Rfam family "Bacterial small subunit ribosomal RNA", at positions 338 to 795 of the family's 1533-position model. The record is from RNAcentral.